GAGAAGGCAGCACCAUUAAACAUGGACGUGGUUCUCCCCCAGGGAUGACUCAGAUGUUUUGUACACAGAAGCCAAUUUCCCCUGAUGCUGUGAGCGCCGCAUAGAAACUCCAGCCUCACAACGGCCUUCCCGAUCACCCGACAUGGGGCUUGAGGAGCUUCCUGUAAAGCACAAAGAGUAACUGAGAGAUGACGCAGCAGCUGUUUCCAGCCUGGGAUGGUUGGAUAAAUGGGAACUGAGAGUCCUGCACAGGCUCAGCACACCAGACAUGUGUUUACCCAAACACCACAUCGGAUCCUUUUGAGACUUGAAGGAUUAAGCCACAUGGAAGCAUAGUAACAUCACAGGAGUCAGCCUGGACUUGGGAGCUGGGAUUCAUACCAGUAGGUGUGGAAAAUGGGUGAGAGAUGACUUCCAAAUGAUCAACUUGUUCAGGUUUCUAAAACAUUCAGCUUGUUUUCUGUAUGACAUUCACUGCCUGCCAGGAGCAUCUGAGCUUCUCGUGCUUUGGAAGCCACAACUGACAUUUUCUCUUAGUUCCUCUCUUUUCCUCCUUCCCAUCUCCAUUACAAAACAACUGUUUAUAGAUGUGUUUUGUCUCCCAGCUGAAACCAAGGAGCAAACUAGGGAAACUGGGUUCGUGACCACAUCAUCAGCCUAACAGUACAAUGAUAAAAUCCACACAUGACCUUUCUGAAAUGAUGCUAUCUACCACACCAGAGGAAAAUCACAACUCAAGGAGUCUGAUAUCCAUCUUCACUUCCCCUAAAGACUGUGUGCAAAAUCAUCACUUCACGUAGGCUCCCUGAGGCAUGGUCGUGCCAGGACAAAGCUUCAAUCAUGGGCUUCCCAGCCACCUCCAGGGUAACUGGCAGAAUGGAACUAGAAAAGGAGCCAAUGAUAAUAAGGUAGCUAAUAAUAAUAAGGCCCAAACAAAAAUACUGAAUAAUAAUAAUGAUUCUAACUAA
Long non-coding RNA from Coturnix japonica (Japanese quail), 968 nucleotides. RefSeq lists it as uncharacterized. The record is from RefSeq and is a predicted model, not a curated record. NCBI's taxonomy places the organism in Eukaryota, Metazoa, Chordata, Aves, Galliformes, Phasianidae.